AAUGAACGCUGGCGGCGUGCCUAACACAUGCAAGUCGCGCGCGAAAGGGGAGCAAUCUCCGAGUAGAGCGGCGGACGGGUGAGUAACACGUGGGUAAUCUGCCUAGGAGCGGGGGAUAACCUGGGGAAACUCGGGCUAAUACCGCAUACGAUCACGGGGUCCAGACCCCUGUGCUGAAAGGUGGCCUCUGCUUGCAAGCUACCACUCCUAGAGGAGCCCGCGCCNGAUUAGCUAGUUGGUGGGGUAACGGCCUACCAAGGCGACGAUCAGUAGCCGGCCUGAAAGGGCGAUCGGCCACACUGGAACUGAGACACGGUCCAGACUCCUACGGGAGGCAGCAGUGAGGAAUCUUGCGCAAUGGGGAAACCCUGACGCAGCAACGCCGCGUGGAGGAUGAAGGUCUUCGGAUUGUAAACUCCUGUCAGAGGGGACGAAUGCCUGCGGGCUAAUCACCGUAGGUUUGACGGUACCCUCAGAGGAAGCCACGGCUAACUCUGU
This 498-nucleotide ribosomal RNA is filed under the name uncultured bacterium. RNAcentral's name for it is "bacterial SSU rRNA". It matches the Rfam family "Bacterial small subunit ribosomal RNA", at positions 29 to 506 of the family's 1533-position model. The record is from RNAcentral.